GUGAAAUUUAGCCUCUGCCCAUGAACGAGUACGAGGCUUAAUUAUUUUGAUAAAUUUUACGACUCGCGGUAGUGCAGGUAUGAUCGUGAUGAUACAUAUAGUAUCGUCGAGGGAGCAUGAACGUAUUCUAUGUCGUACAGUUCGAUAAAAUCUUGUAAUGUAGCAGUCGCUGAUACAAGAUAGCCCAUUGUUACUCCAUGGAGAUUUUAAUCAGUGUUGCGGGUCAGGUUGUAGGUUGAAAGAGCCGGGUGUCUAAUUUUAGAGAUGGAAGAUUUAAUGGGAACGGUUCAUGGUCGAAGGUGUCAUUUGUGGGCGAGUGGAACAUUAAAUUUGUACGAGGACAAGCGAGACAGGAAGGGAUGUUCAGACCUUUGGAGAAAUUCGAAGAAUGGGGACGAGUGAAACUUUGAGAAUAUGCGAUUGUUAGGGAUCUUCCCUCGUGGAUCUCUCGGAUUUUUGACAGCUUUCAGGGAGGGCCGAAACGGACGCGAAUUUAUCUCGUACCCGGGGAUAAAGUAACCCUACGGGCUACGAGAAUAAAUUAUCGUAAUCCCUCGUGGGCUUACGUCUCCCGCUACCUGUUCCCACGGAUUUACAUUCGAAUUUUUGCGAUUUACAUUUUUACAGGACCGGAGUUGCCAAAAAAAAAAAAAAGAAGAAGAAAAAAGAAGAUGCUUCCCCUUCGUCGAUUCAUCCAAACGAUCGCAACCCUUUGAGCGCCCCUUCGUCAAAAAUUCACUUGCUUUAAAUUUUCGCAGCGAAAGCGCGAAAUUAAACGGAAAUAGAACGAAUCGAAACGUUAAAUUACACAUCAUUCUCACAAAUAACGGCUCCCUUUGUCAUUGGAGCGUAAAUAAUCCCGAUUUGGUCGCGGAAAUUUAAUUCCGCUGUUC
This is a long non-coding RNA of Apis florea (little honeybee), 893 nucleotides long. NCBI's taxonomy places the organism in Eukaryota, Metazoa, Arthropoda, Insecta, Hymenoptera, Apidae. The record is from RefSeq and is a predicted model, not a curated record.